AUAAUGCAAGUGUAAGCUUGGAAAAAAGCACUACGUGUCUGCUUGCACUCCUGAGCCUCCACCAUUGCUAUGAAAACAUGCCUGGGAGAGCCUGCUGGAAGACAGUACCCAGAGCAGCGCCCCAGUCUCUCCAGUUGACUAGCCAGGACCAGCCUAGAUCUUCUGACAACUGGAUGACCUUCAGAUAUCAUAAGAAAACAGCCGAAGAUUAGAUUUUGAUAAUGAGAGAGCCCAACGAUCCUGGACCCCUGGCCGGGAGGACAAUAGGGGAAACAGGUGAAACGCUGUGUGAGCUGGACCACCCAGGCUCUCCAACACCAGGACACCAGAGCAUCCUUCCUCCUUCUUCUCUUCUGCUGCGACUUCCUGGAGGCAUAGCAGAGUUACAACUGCUGGCCAUGUGGAACUUCUCUUCUCCUAUAAGUUUGCUCUGAGAUGGAGAGAAUGUGCCUGUGGUUCAUUAGGAAGAGCUCUUGGGAUCAAUGCCUGUAAAAAGGAAGGGAAGGAAGCAGGAUUGGCCAGAAGGAGAAGUUGAGCUGUGAUGAAGUCUCAAUGGAGACCUCAGCCAAUUCUGAGUCAUGUCCUGAAGCUAGAAUAUGUCCUCUAAAUUAUCCCAAGCUGAGAUGAGGGAGCUGGGCAUUUAGCCCUGAAUUAGGCCAUUCUUGCACUGCUAUAGAGAAAUAACUAUGGCCUGGCGCCGUGGCUCACGUCCUUAAUCCUAGCACUUUGGGAGGCCGAGGCGAGCAGAUCACGAGGUCAGAGUUUGACACCAGCCUGGCCAGUAUGGUGAAACCCCAAUUCUACUAAAAAUACGAAAAUUAGCCAGGCAUGGUGGCACAUGUCUGUAAUCUUAGCUACUUGGGAGGCUGAGGCAGGAGAAUUGCUUGAACCCAGGAAGUGGAGGUUGCAGUGAGCUGAGAUUGUGCCUCUGCACUCCAGCCUAGGGAAUAAAGCGAAAGUCUGUCAAAAAAAAAAAAAAAAAAAAAAAGGAAAGAAGGAAAUAACUGAGACUGGUAAUUUAUAAAGAAGAGGUUUAAUGCUCACAGUUCCUCAUGCUAUACAAAAAGCAUGAUGCUGGCAUCUGCUCAGCUUCUUGGGAGGCCUCAGGAAAUGUACAAUCAUGGCAGAAGGUGACGCGGGAGCAGGCACUUCACAGGGCCGGUGCAGGAGGAGAGAGAGAGGCAGGAGAUGCUACACACCUUUAAACAACCAGAUCUCCUGAUAACUCACUCUCAUCACAACACCACCAAGGGAGAUGGUGUUAAACCAUGAGAAACCACCUCCACGAUCCAAUCACCUCCCACCAGGCCUCACCUCCAACACUGGGGAUUUAUAAUUCCACGUGAGAUUUGGGUGGGGGACACAGAUCCAAAAUAUAUCAUACCCCCACGUUGAUCAGUCAUUAGAUGUGGGCCACCCUAGUUGAGGCAGCUCCCCUCGCUCAGGUGGUUCCUGAAGCGAGCUGACAGCUGACGGCUGCAUGCCAGAGGUACCGUCAGCAGCUGAAGGAGAGUCUUUUGUGCUAAAAGCCAUCUUAAGCAGCACAGCACAGCGUCCACCACAUAUUGUGGACAGGUGAUAUGGUUUAGAUCUGUAUCCCCGCCACAAUUUCAUGCUGAAUUGUAAUCCCCAAUGUUGGAGGUAAGCCCUGGUGGGAGGUGUUCGGGUCGUGGGAGCAGAUCCCUCAUGAAUGGCUUGGGCCAUCCUCUUGGUGAUGAGGGAACACUCACUCUGAGUGUUCACAAGAUCUGGUGGUUUAAACGUGUGUGGCACCUCUCCCCACCCCCACUCUUUCUUGUUCCUGCUUUUGCCAUGGGACGCGCAUGAUCCCUUUGCCUUCUGCCAGGACUAAAAGCUCCCCGGAGCCUUCUCAGAAGCUGAGCGAUGUUGGCGCCAUGCUUCUGGUACAGCCUGCAGAACCAUGAGCCAAUUCAACCUCCUUUCUUUAUAAAUUACCCAGCCUCAGGUAUUUCUUUAUGGCAAUACAAGAACAGCCUAAUACACCAGGGGUUUGCAGGUAACCCAGGCCCUUGUCCUUGAGGACACAGCAGCAAGCCAUUGGUAAAGCAAAACUGUCCAUAAGGAAGGCUGCUCCCAUGCAGUGUUCAUUUGGGCAGCCCAGAAAGCGAGAAAUCCUCGGUCCAUUUCAAGUUUGGGGAAAACUUAUUUUUAUCAUAUUUGAGAUGAAUAAUAAAAGCAAAUCCAGAA
This 2208-nucleotide long non-coding RNA is filed under the name Pan troglodytes (chimpanzee). RNAcentral's name for it is "lincRNA". The record is from RNAcentral. Lineage: Eukaryota; Metazoa; Chordata; Mammalia; Primates; Hominidae.